RNAcentral lists this transfer RNA (62 nucleotides) under Apochrysa matsumurae. RNAcentral's name for it is "tRNA-Cys". The record is from RNAcentral. Lineage: Eukaryota; Metazoa; Arthropoda; Insecta; Neuroptera; Chrysopidae.
AGUCUUAUAUUCAAUAAUGAUUUUAAAUUGCAAAUUUGAAGGUGAAUUUUAUUCUUAGACUU